Molecule: ribosomal RNA, 484 nt
Filed under: uncultured bacterium
Lineage: Bacteria
Description: partial 16S ribosomal RNA
Rfam family: Bacterial small subunit ribosomal RNA
Source: RNAcentral
AUUGAACGCUGGCGGAAUGCUUUACACAUGCAAGUCGAGCGGCAGCGCGGCCUUCGGGCUGGCGGCGAGCGGCGAACGGGUGAGUAAUGCAUCGGAACAUGCCCAGUCGUGGGGGAUAACACCUCGAAAGAAGUGCUAAUACCGCAUACGUCCUGAGGGGGAAAGCGGGGGAUCGCAAGACCUCGCGCGAUUGGAGUGGCCGAUGUCAGAUUAGCUAGUUGGUGGGGUAAAGGCCUACCAAGGCGACGAUCUGUAGCUGGUCUGAGAGGAUGAUCAGCCACACGGGGACUGAGACACGGCCCAGACUCCUACGGGAGGCAGCAGUGGGGAAUGUUGGACAAUGGGGGCAACCCUGAUCCAGCCAUUCCGCGUGAGUGAAGAAGGCCUUCGGGUUGUAAAGCUCUUUCGGCAGGAACGAAACGGUGGGCUCUAACAUAGUCCGCUAAUGACGGUACCUGAAGAAGAAGCACCGGCUAACUACGUG